GCCGCGUGUGUGAAGAAGGCCUGCGGGUUGUAAAGCACUUUCAGUAGAGAAGAAAAGCCUAGGGUUAAUAACCCUGAGUCUUGACGUUACCUACAGAAGAAGCACCGGCUAACUCCGUGCCAGCAGCCGCGGUAAUAAUCGAAUUCCCGCGGCC
This 154-nucleotide ribosomal RNA is filed under the name uncultured Gammaproteobacteria bacterium. Its description in RNAcentral is "partial 16S ribosomal RNA". It matches the Rfam family "Bacterial small subunit ribosomal RNA", at positions 396 to 540 of the family's 1533-position model. Lineage: Bacteria; Pseudomonadati; Pseudomonadota; Gammaproteobacteria. The record is from RNAcentral.